Molecule: ribosomal RNA, 433 nt
Filed under: uncultured bacterium
Lineage: Bacteria
Description: partial 16S ribosomal RNA
Rfam family: Bacterial small subunit ribosomal RNA
Source: RNAcentral
AACGAACGCUGGCGGCAUGCCUAACACAUGCAAGUCGAACGAGACCUUCGGGUCUAGUGGCGCACCGGUGCGUAACGCGUGGGAACCUGCCUUUAGGUUCGGAAUAACUCCCCGAAAGGGGUGCUAAUACCGGAUAAUGUCUUCGGACCAAAGAUUUAUCGCCUUUGGAUGGGCCCGCGUGGGAUUAGCUAGUUGGUAGGGUAAAAGCCUACCACGGCGACGAUCGAUAGCUGGUCUGAGAGGAUGAUCAGCCACACUGGGACUGAGACGCGGCCCAGACUCCUACGGGAGGCAGCAGUGGGGAAUAUUGGACAAUGGGCGAAAGCAUGAUCCAGCAAGGCCGCGUGAGUGAUGAAGGCCUUGGGGUUGUAAAGCUCUUUUACCCGGGAUGAGAAUGACGGUACCGGGAGAAUAAGCGCCGGCUAACUCCGUG